This 1615-nucleotide long non-coding RNA is filed under the name Macaca fascicularis (crab-eating macaque). RNAcentral describes it as "lncRNA (ENSMFAG00000062170.1)". Lineage: Eukaryota; Metazoa; Chordata; Mammalia; Primates; Cercopithecidae. The record is from RNAcentral.
CUUCAACCUGCUUAUUCACUUAACAUGAACAUCUUUUCAUUUCAAAAUUAUUUGUCUACAUCAUUCAUAAUUUACCAAAACAAUUUGAAAGAGUCACAUUUCCUUUUUGUCUCCACUUAGGUUUACAAGGUGACCUAAUGCUGUCUGACUUCAGCCUUCACUGGUAGAUGAAAACUAAAUAAGGUGACCAAUGAUCUCUGCCAGAAAAAGUUUAUUUUUCAUUUCUCAGCAUCUCUGGAGUAUUUGACACCAUUCAUCACUCUCUUCCUUGGUACCCCCAUGCCAUUUGUUGUCAUCAUUUUGUUAGUGGGCUUCUCCUAGUCCACUCCACCUUCUCUUGGCUAGUCUUCUCUAUGAGCUCUAUAAAUCUGCCCUUACCUUAAACAUUAAUUAAUCUUUUCCAGAGUUCUGACCCAAGCCCUCUCUUCUUCAGUUCUGCAUCAUUUUCAGGCUUCAAACUACUGACAUUUUCCUAAUAGACAUCUAAUCUAUAUUCUAGCCCAUAUCUCAAUUUUAUAUUCCAGACUCACACAUCUGGUGGCUUUCUAGACACAUUCACUUUGAAGGUAUAAGGUACCUGAAACUUAACAUGUUCUAACUCUAAACAUGAACUCAAUAGACCUGCCCCUCCCUCACUCCUGACCAAAACAACAACAAUAACCCUACUUCUCUUCCUGUAUUUUUUUUUUUAGUCUUGUCAAGUGGCCAUAUCCAGUUUGCCAAAAAUUUGGAAUUUAAUCUCAGUAGGACUAAAGUUCCACCAGGGCAGAGAUAUUUAUCUUGAUUUGGUGCUGUAUCUCUCUGUUUGCCAGUUGAAUUAUUCUUCUCUCAUCCCCUGCAUCUACUUUGUCACCAAAUCUCAAAUAUGUCUUCCCAUUUCCAUCACUACCUUCUUCAUUUCCAGUCCCAACUCACCAUCUCUUCACGGUUCUAAGGUAGGUCCUCCAACCGAAUUCUAUUCUUUAUACUGCUAAGAGAAUGAUCUUCUAAAUAUGCAAAUCUGAUUGUCACCUUUCAGUUUCUUCCCAAUCUCAAUUUUAACUUCAAACUACUACACUCAGCCUUCAGGACGUGAUUUCCCUGUCAUUAUCUCUACCUCCAAUUCUAUAUUCCAGCUAUAUUCAACUACAGUUCCCCAAACAUUCUGCAGCCAUUUGGUGUAUUUUCUGUGCUCCUACUAAGUAGAAGCAGAAGAAGAAUAAACCAAGACCACAUCAUAGAGUGCUAUGCAGUCAUUAAAAGGAAGUUUAGAGAGCAUUUGUAAUAACUUGGAAAUGUUUAUGUUUUACUUUAUAUCAGGGAAGCAGACUGUCAUAUUAUAUCUAUAUAUCAGUAUGGUCAGAAACAGUAUAAAAUGUAUAAAACAAUACUGAACAAAAAUUAUACCAGAGUUCAUACUGAUCAUCUUUGGUGAGACUUUGGCUAUACCUUGUUUUGUUUUGUUUUUUUGAGACAGGGUCUUGUUCUGUUGUCCAUGCUGGAGUGUAGUGGCACAGUCAUGACUCAUUGCAGCACUGACCUCCUGGGCUCAAGUGAUCCUCCCACCUCAGUCCCCCAGAUAGCUAGGACUACAGGUGUACACCACAGUGCCUGGCUAAUUAAAAAAAAAAAAAAA